This 448-nucleotide ribosomal RNA is filed under the name uncultured bacterium. RNAcentral describes it as "partial 16S ribosomal RNA". It matches the Rfam family "Bacterial small subunit ribosomal RNA", at positions 29 to 523 of the family's 1533-position model. The record is from RNAcentral.
GCGAACGCUGGCGGCAGGCCUAAUACAUGCAAGUCGAGCGGUCCCUUCGGGGGCAGCGGCGGACGGGUGAGUAACGCGUGGGAACGUGCCCUUUGGUACGGAACAACUGAGGGAAACUUCAGCUAAUACCGUAUGUGCCCUUCGGGGGAAAGAUUUAUCGCCAUUGGAGCGGCCCGCGUUAGAUUAGCUAGUUGGUAGGGUAAUGGCCUACCAAGGCGACGAUCUAUAGCUGGUCUGAGAGGAUGAUCAGCCACACUGGGACUGAGACACGGCCCAGACUCCUACGGGAGGCAGCAGUAGGGAAUCUUGCGCAAUGGGCGAAAGCCUGACGCAGCCAUGCCGCGUGAAUGAUGAAGGUCUUAGGAUUGUAAAAUUCUUUCACCGGGGACGAUAAUGACGGUACCCGGAGAAGAAGCCCCGGCUAACUUCGUGCCAGCCGCCGCGGUAA